GAGACCGUAGCUCAGCUGGAUAGAGCGACAGAUUCCUAAUCUGUAGGUCAUGAGUUCGAAUCUCAUCGGUCUCACCA
RNAcentral lists this transfer RNA (77 nucleotides) under Rickettsiales bacterium. Its description in RNAcentral is "tRNA-Arg". It matches the Rfam family "tRNA". Rfam says of the family: Transfer RNA (tRNA) molecules are approximately 80 nucleotides in length. Their secondary structure includes four short double-helical elements and three loops (D, anti-codon, and T loops). Lineage: Bacteria; Pseudomonadati; Pseudomonadota; Alphaproteobacteria; Rickettsiales. The record is from RNAcentral.